This is a non-coding RNA of Populus trichocarpa (black cottonwood), 106 nucleotides long. Lineage: Eukaryota; Viridiplantae; Streptophyta; Magnoliopsida; Malpighiales; Salicaceae. The record is from Rfam.
UGAACCCAGUACUCUUGGGUCUUGCAACAGAACCCAGUGAUCUUGGGUCCUAUAUUAGGAUCUAAUUUUCUUGGGUCCUUUGUCAAGACCAAGGCUAUUGGGUCUU